Molecule: ribosomal RNA, 570 nt
Filed under: Triticum aestivum (bread wheat)
Lineage: Eukaryota; Viridiplantae; Streptophyta; Magnoliopsida; Poales; Poaceae
Description: partial small subunit ribosomal RNA
Source: RNAcentral
AUGGCAUCCUUCUACGCAGCCAUAGGUUUCAUCCUCCCCUUUCUCCUCACCAUCGCAUUGCCCCAAUCUACUGGUUCCCCUCCUGCGGCGCCGUCGACCACCGGGUCAUUAUCCAUCGAGGACGCCUGCAAGCAGACCACCAAGCUCUACGACCUCUGCAUGGCGACGCUCUCCCCGGACCGGUCCUCCUUGACGGCUGAUGCUGUGGGCCUGACCAGGGCGGCCAUCCUGGCUGUCCAGAAGAACGCGUCCGAGACAGCCACAUACCUCACGAACAUCGAUGAAGAUGACAACUUCAAUAAAACGGCGCAGCUGCAACAAUGCCUCGAGGGCUGUGGGGAGCGGUAUGAGGCGGCCGUGGAGCAGCUGGCAGACGCGACAAUCGCGCUGGACAUGGGGGCAUACGACGAGUCGCAGGUGCUGGUAUCUGCAGGCCAGGCGGAGGUGAAGCUGUGCCAGAAGGGGUGCCAGGACUCACCAGAACACCGGAGCAUCCUCAUGGCGCGCAACACCGAGGUCGACCAGCUCUGCAAUAUCACUCUCGCUAUCGCCAAGCUUAUCCCCCGGUGA